GCCAAGUUUCUACAGAGUGACUUGUGGAACGAAAACUUCAAACAGGAGGUGGAGAACGUUGCCAGGUUCCUGUACUACAUGGACCCCCAGCAGGCCAGUCUCCAGUUUGUCCGUCAGCAUGAGAAGACCCGAGAGUAUUUCCUCAAGCUCUCAGAGGCCGGACUCUGCAAGCAGACGGUGCAGAAUUACAUCAAGAGCGUUAAAAGGUUCCUGAAGUUCCACGUGGGCAGCACUAACCUGUGCUUCAAAGACUGACUGCCAGAACUACGUCUUGUUCCUGAGCAACAUCCAGACUGUGACUUCUAAGCAGGUCAGCAAGGAGACGACCAGGAAGAGGAGGCCAUGACUGUGUUGGAUGCUGCCAGGGAAGACUUCCUAGCUGUCAUCGGGAAGCUGAAUCAGUUGAAUCAUUCACUUAGUUUAACUAAUGAAUGAUUUGUUUGCGUGCUGUAGGUCACGGAAUGGACCAGUCGCAGGAGAGUAUAUGGGUGUUACUGAUGUAUGGCUUUUACUGCAACAGGAGGGAUCGAAGAUUACCUGUACUCAAAUUCUCUGAAUCUUUUAAUGGCAUUAUGAACGGAGUGUUUCAGGCAUGCUGCCUUUAUAUCUAAUCAAGAGGCUGACCUGUGUCCAAUUAACCUGUUCACCUGUGGAAUGUUGUAAACAGGUGUUUUGUUGCAGCAGUCCCAACUUUUUCAGAACAUGAUCCAAAUAAAAAUGAGUCAAUAUUUGCAAAAACUGUUUCUGUUUGAUUAUUAAAUGUAUUUGUAGCGUAUUCAGUUAAAUAUAGGUUUUAAAGGAUUUGAAGCUCAGCAUAUUCUUUUUUGUUUAGUUAUGUUAUACGCAACAUCUUAAUUGAAAUUGGGUUGUAAUAAAGCACAAACAA
Molecule: long non-coding RNA, 886 nt
Organism: Astyanax mexicanus (Mexican tetra)
Lineage: Eukaryota; Metazoa; Chordata; Actinopteri; Characiformes; Acestrorhamphidae
Exons: 4
Source: RefSeq, a predicted model, not a curated record